This is an RNA transcript of Daphnia magna, 3693 nucleotides long. RefSeq lists it as uncharacterized. The record is from RefSeq and is a predicted model, not a curated record. The transcript has 5 exons. Lineage: Eukaryota; Metazoa; Arthropoda; Branchiopoda; Diplostraca; Daphniidae.
ACGGGCGGAACUCGGAUGCCGCGGAAUUCUUGUUGUGCUUCUCUUUUUACUCUACAAUUACUGAUGGACUUCAGACAAUGACAUGUAGGGUUCAAGUCGAGUAUUGCGUGCAUCACCUAUUCAAAAGAAAAGUCAACAAGGCUACUAGGCUAACUUCGCGGUGUGCGAGAUGAGUUUGCGUUUAAAGUCUUAUGAAGGGAGAAAAUCAAUAUUGCAGGUUAGAUGAAAUGCAUGCAUUUCUAGUAUCAUCUAUGGUACUAAAGCUAAUCAGCUCCAAUAGAUAAUCAAUAAGUGCAUGGCUGUUUUUGACAGUGCAGCUGUUUCUCCAUUUUUAAGCCUAAUUCACACUGUUGAGCUUAUGCUUCUGGAAUCGGUUUCUGCAACGUACAACUUAUUGAUUCAAUGGGAAAAAUAAAAAAGUGGCAUGAGUUGCAGAAACUCGUUCAAAUUUUGCAAGUACAAAAAAAAAAAUUGGCUCUAGCGUGACGGGUUUUUUAAAACCGUAUCUUGGAGUAGCCGUGGAAUUUCCGAAAAUAAAACUCAACCCAGGCUUUCCGGCUUUCCCGGUGCGGAAGUCGAAAUUCAAUGUUUGUGCUAGGAGGCAAACAGCAAAGAAAUUCAAACAAAACUAUAAAAUUGUACAUUUAGUCUACUCGACGCCAAAAUUUGUGCUAUUGUUCCAGCCAAUAGUCUUUCCAUUGAUUUUUUUUUAAUAAUUUGAAAUUACAAAACACAAAGAAGAAGAACUUCAAAAAAAGUUUGGAUCUCCAAACGAAGCCAUACAAGUAUUCCCGUUUCUUUCUUUGUAAAAUUUCCAAUGGCAAUUGUAUUCAUUGGAGUCUCACAAUCGUAAUUGAUUUCCUUGAAUAAUUCAUUACGACGCAGAAUGUAUUCAAAAUGAAUUAAACAUUCGGAAUGUGAAAAGAAAUCGUUAAAAAAGACCAGUGACUAAAAACUGUAUGGAAAACAUUCCACGAAAAUAAAUCAUUUGAAUAAGUGAACAGAAUUUUUGGUGUUUACGGAAACAACUACAACUCCCUACUCGUUAUUAAAUUAGGUACGUCGGUGGCGGGCGUCGAUCGAUAAUAAGGUUCUUUUUCAUACAGGCAAGUCGGUAGACGUGCAGUUGUCAUUCCCGAAUAAGCAGCAAGUCUUCAAAACCUUUCAAAAAUAUCAAAGACGGGCAAACUUUUAGCCUGCGCGUACCUUUUUGUUUUCAUUCAGAUUAGAAUGAAAACAAGUACAGAGGCGUGCUAUCCGGUGGUAGCUCAACCAGUGAGCAUCCACAUUUUUCCGCUCAAUAUUACACCUCCCCCGAACGACGCAGGUAUAUACGAAUAUCAAUACCCACCAUAUCGGCUUCUUUUUUUUUCGCUUUAUUAAAACCGCCUUAUGCUCGUAAAAACAAACUUUCUUGCUAUUUAAGAAACUACAGAAUUGCUAUUUUAAAAAAACUGUCGGUGCCACAGCGGCGGCAACAUUUCUGUCAUUUUCCAAAGUUUUUUUUCCCCAAAUAGGAUGGAAAAACUUGUAAAAAAAUAUACACAAAAAAAAAAAACAAAAAAAACAAAACAGGCUUGUUAGGUAGCUGUUCUUCCCCUCGGUUUACUUCGGUAUGUUAUGUGAUGUGUGGUUUUGCGGUCCCUCAAGCAUAAAGAUCACCCCUGUGUUCGAGGAACCGGAUCCUGCUGGCCUCGUUCAAAUACCUAUACGACAACGCACACGUUUUAAAUCGCUGAACGAUUUUCUUUUUUAAAAACAGUUUUUGUUUUGCAACUGCGAUAUUGACCAUCUGUCUGCGACACGUAGUCUACAUUGUUAACCAAGAAAGCAUUUUGUUAAAGGCUAAUAUUAGCCAACGACAAACAGAAUUUUUUUUUCUGACACGAGAUGUGCGCUAGAACAACUAGAUUCUACCACGCAGGUGCCAGCACCUGUCUUUUAAGCAGCCUAAAGUUGCUUUACGGCACGUUCAAGUCCUGGAACGUAGACGCCCUUUAGAUUACCCAUGACGUUUUGCCGGUCAGGGCGAAAGGAGGGAAACUGGGCCAGUUUACGUCAUCGGGCAAGGGCAUGAGUACGUUCGACAUGCAUCGCAAUUUGCAGUGACCGAAAAACAGCAAAAAGGCGAGUGAAACAAAAUUCUAGUUUAUCAGCUGCGAUUGCAAACCAGCUGCCUUGCAAAACAUGAAUCGACAAUGCGCAUUCCAUUUUACUUGGUCAGAAGUUCUGAUUUGAAUUGCACCAAUAAAUGGGACAAGUGAAUUGCGCAAUUUAAGAGAGUUCUAUAAUAAAAACUAUCAGUUACAGAGAUAGGACAAUCGUGAUCAAUUGAAUAAUUUUUAAAAGAAAGGCUGUUUGUUUUUGGAAUUGCAAGGUAUAAAAAAAAAAAAAAAAAAAGAUUAGCUGACAUAAACAACCACACCCUCGUCCGUGUUAAAAGGGAUUUCAAAUGUUCUGUAACAGACAUGCCUAUCGGUAAAAAUCUACGGGGACUUUAUGCCACAACCCAUAAAUUGCAUACGACGCAGUUGGUUUAAUAAACCAAGUGGAAAACGUGUGAACAAAUUUACACGUACGAACAACUUUGUAGAAAUGCUGUCAACGCGCUUUUAUGCUUCUACAGGAUAUGCUUUUGAAUAGAAUGUGGUCCUUUGCUGAACUGUUUACAUAUUCAUCAACACGAAUCGAAUUCUACAUCACGCAUGCUGGCUAUUUGGUACGUCCGUGCGGCGGUGAGCAUCUUUCAAUUGAUAGCGUAGAUGUGAAGGACUUGGUGGUGGGGCAAUGUGGAAAAAAGGAAGCUACAAUGUUUCAAACAAACAAUUCGAUAACAACCAGCUGAGUGUCGUGCUAUCCGCCGAUGAUCAACACGGACAAACUACCAGUAGCGAUUUUCUAACAGUUAGUUUGGGAAAAACUGAACCGGCAUGGACUCGACUGAAAUGGAUUUUAAGAAUACAAGAGAAAUUAACGAUAUGGCUGAUGUGCGCAUUAUUCCUUAUAAUUUUAGUUUUGAUUGGAGUUAUUAUUUGGUUAAGCGUAUCGAUCCACCUAAACAAUCGUGAAAAUAUGCGCACAAUUUCGACUGCUAUGGACUUGUUAAUCAGCCAUAAAUUCAAACAAAAUGAAAAAUUAGAACACUAUUCUGCUGAUGGAAUAGAAAGGGAUAUCGGUGAAAGUUGCGGCUUUUCCUGUGCGGAAAUAUUAAAAGCUACCUUCGAUUUUCACCGAAGACGAGAUAACAAUAGAGGAAACAGACUCGGCAAAAAGUUCGCUACCCAAGCGUCAAUAUGGAACUGCUACAAUACAGUCCACGUCAAAAGAAAACUUCCCAUCGCUAGAAACAAGUCAGCGCACAAAAAGUUCUAGUUGUAACUAUAGCGAAAUCAUCUUGGAAAUGUCUUCGAUAAAUAAAAUCAGCGAAAAUCGGACUGCGGAAAAUGAUUCUGAUUCUAUAGAAGAUUCGUCUGACGAAGAAGAUAAACAGAGAUAAUUGAAUGAUAUAAUUACCGUAGCCUUCGAAAACUUAUGUAAUCGAGCAGACCAAAAAAAACAAACAAACAAUUUUACUUUUUAAUGACUUCUUCAAAGGGUACGUAAAUGAUUAUAUCAAUUCAGAAACCUAUGCUGUAAAGUCUUUUAUGAUUCAUGUGUGUCGCAGUUAAUUAAAAUGUCAGCGGUUAAUGAAAA